RNAcentral lists this transfer RNA (74 nucleotides) under Gracilaria caudata. RNAcentral describes it as "Crassa caudata tRNA-Asn". It matches the Rfam family "tRNA". Rfam says of the family: Transfer RNA (tRNA) molecules are approximately 80 nucleotides in length. Lineage: Eukaryota; Rhodophyta; Florideophyceae; Gracilariales; Gracilariaceae. The record is from RNAcentral.
UUUCCUGAUAGCUUAAAGGCAGAGCGUAUGGCUGUUAACCAUUAGGUUGUAGGUUCGAGUCCUACUCAGGAAGU